UGCACGGGCCUGGCUCAACCCG
Molecule: small nuclear RNA, 22 nt
Filed under: Arabidopsis thaliana (thale cress)
Lineage: Eukaryota; Viridiplantae; Streptophyta; Magnoliopsida; Brassicales; Brassicaceae
Description: snRNA_07524
Source: RNAcentral